Non-coding RNA from Phascolomyces articulosus, 73 nucleotides. Lineage: Eukaryota; Fungi; Mucoromycota; Mucoromycetes; Mucorales; Lichtheimiaceae. The record is from the annotation of a GenBank genome assembly.
GGGGAUGUAGCUCAUAUGGUAGAGCGUUCGCUUCGCAUGCGAAAGGUACCCGGAUCGAUACCGGGCAUUUCCA